Long non-coding RNA from Beta vulgaris subsp. vulgaris (sugar beet), 1399 nucleotides. RefSeq lists it as uncharacterized. The record is from RefSeq and is a predicted model, not a curated record. Lineage: Eukaryota; Viridiplantae; Streptophyta; Magnoliopsida; Caryophyllales; Amaranthaceae. The transcript is spliced from 2 exons.
AACCCGUAUUUUUAAGCUUGUUUUAAAUUAAGUAAUUGUGUUUAUUAAUUUAACUAAGCCUUAUAUCAAUAAGAGAUCAUUUGAAAAUUAUAUUAUGAUAUUCUUAUUUGUGUUGUGGAAAUUUUUGAAAUUAGAAAUGGUUUGGAAAUUUGAUAAUCAAAUUCCGGAUUUUUUUUUAAAAGAAAAGAAAAGAAAUUCUUUUCGUGGCAUAUGUGGGAAAGUGCCACAUUUCUUCAAUGUUGUCAAACUCUCAAUUCCCUUCAACAGAAUAAAAGAAAUCCCAAAACCCAAUUCAUUUUCUCUCUCUCACUCACUGUCCUCCUUCUUCCUCUGUUCUGUCCGUCGAAUUCAUAAAAGAUGCACUCAUUUUUUAGUCUUUGUUCCUUCAUUAAAGUUGUAGAUCUCUUCGAGAUAUUGAAUUUAGGCUCAAAAAUUUCUUUAAUCGGAGUUCGGAGCUAAGCGUUAUGCUCUCUGGAAGUUGUGGUUGUUGCUGCCAUUGUUGCAGCGUUUUUCUCUCUCCUCUUCUUCGUGGAUGUUGCUGCCACGAAUUUUGGCUGGUGGUGCUGCUGGUUGUCAGUAGGAUCAUGGUUGUUAAUAUGAAGUUGUUCAUCCCGUUUGCAAGAUGUUGAUUUUUAUUUUAAAAGCAAACCAAGUUUUGGUUUAAGGAGGUAUAAAUUAACUCUCAUCUCUCCUUCUAUGUUUUUGUUCCAAGAAUUCAUGUUGUGGUGUAAAUUGGUUUAUUUUGUGAUAAUGUUUUAGUAAUUAGUUCAAUUCUGAAUUUUUGUCUUUGGUUAGCAAAAUCAAGUUCUAAAGAUAAAAAUUGAAUCUUUACUCACCGGUUAGUACAUUGAGAUGUGUUUUACAGCUUUAAAAUCAAAAUCUAGAUUUUUGGUUUAGUUAGUUUACAAAAACAGAUUUUAAGAGGAAGUCAUGUUCCUAGGAAUUGAGUUAGUUAGAGCUAUUAUAUAAGAUAGAUGAUGUGAAUUAGAUUUGUGGCAUGGGUUGUAUAUAUGGGUUAUAGUAGUUCAGGGAAGAGUUUUUUUAAAAAAAUAAUAUGAGUGAUUGAGUUUGUUGUUGAUAUGAAUUGUUGUGAGAAUGGUUAAUGAUUGUAAUUGUUGUUUUGAGGUCGGUCGUGAAAUAUGGCUAUGGAAAUAAUUUGCGGAGUUUGAGCUAUGGUUGGUGAUGAAUUGUCGAAAUAUUGGAGGUUUGUCAAUAGAGGAUUGGAUCGGUUUGAGGUGUAUGUUUGGAUUUUUGGAUGAAUCAAGAGGAAGAGUUUUUAGUUAAGAGAUGGAAAUUAAAUUAGAGAUUCGAAGUUAUAUUUAGAAUAUAAUUGUUGAAUAUUAAGUUCUCAUUUGAUAUUAAGUAUUGUAUUGUUUUGGGAUUUCGAGUAAAGUAUUAU